UACGGAGGGGGCUAGCGUUGUUCGGAAUUACUGGGCGUAAAGCGCACGUAGGCGGCUUUGUAAGUUAGAGGUGAAAGCCCGGGGCUCAACUCCGGAAUUGCCUUUAAGACUGCAUCGCUAGAAUUGUGGAGAGGUAAGUGGAAUUCCGAGUGUAGAGGUGAAAUUCGUAGAUAUUCGGAAGAACACCAGUGGCGAAGGCGACUUACUGGACACAUAUUAACGCUGAGGUGCGAAAGCGUGGGGAGCAAACAGG
This 253-nucleotide ribosomal RNA is filed under the name uncultured bacterium. RNAcentral's name for it is "partial 16S ribosomal RNA". It matches the Rfam family "Bacterial small subunit ribosomal RNA", at positions 524 to 776 of the family's 1533-position model. The record is from RNAcentral.